This 409-nucleotide RNase P RNA is filed under the name Deltaproteobacteria bacterium. Its description in RNAcentral is "RNase P RNA component class A". It matches the Rfam family "Bacterial RNase P class A". From Rfam's summary of the family: Ribonuclease P (RNase P) is a ubiquitous endoribonuclease, found in archaea, bacteria and eukarya as well as chloroplasts and mitochondria. Its best characterised activity is the generation of mature 5'-ends of tRNAs by cleaving the 5'-leader elements of precursor-tRNAs. The record is from RNAcentral. Lineage: Bacteria; Pseudomonadati; Myxococcota; Myxococcia.
UCGCUAGGAUGGAUGGUCGCCGAUGGCUUUACGCCAUUGGAGGAAAGUCCGGGCUCCGCGGGGCGUGAUGCUGGCUAACGGCCAGGCACCAGGCUGGUGACGGCAUGGUGACGGACAGUGCAACAGAGAAUAUACCGCCGUUCUCGCAAGAGAGCGGUAAGGGUGAAACGGUGGGGUAAGAGCCCACCGGGUCUUCGGCGACGAAGACCGCAUGGCAAACCCCAUCAGGUGCAAGAUCAAAUAGGGAAACGUAACGAGGCUGCCCCGCCCAGUUGCUCCGUCAAAAGAGCAACGCGUUUUCGGGUAAGAUCGCUAGAGCCCGUCGGUAACGGCGGGCCCAGAGGAAUGGCCAUCCCGGUUCGCGCAAGCGAGCUAGGACAGAACCCGGCUUACAAUCCCAGACGAGUCA